UAGGGAAUCUUCCGCAAUGGACGCAAGUCUGACGGAGCAACGCCGCGUGAGUGAAGAAGGUUUUCGGAUCGUAAAACUCUGUUGUAAGAGAAGAACAAAUUGUAGAGUAACUGCUACAGUCUUGACGGUAUCUUACCAGAAAGCCACGGCUAACUACGUGCCAGCAGCCGCGGUAAUACGUAGGUGGCAAGCGUUGUCCGGAUUUAUUGGGCGUAAAGGGGGCGCAGGCUGCUUCUUAAGUCUGAUGUGAAAGCCCACGGCUUAACCGUGGAAGGGCAUUGGAAACUGGGAAGCUUGAGUACAGAAGAGGAAAGUGGAACUCCAUGUGUAGCGGUGGAAUGCGUAGAAAUAUGGAAGAACCCCAGUGGCGAAAGCGACUUUAUGGUCUGUCACUGACGCUGAGGCCCGAAAGCGUGGGUAGCAAACAGG
Molecule: ribosomal RNA, 429 nt
Filed under: Verrucomicrobiota bacterium
Lineage: Bacteria; Pseudomonadati; Verrucomicrobiota
Description: Verrucomicrobia bacterium partial 16S ribosomal RNA
Rfam family: Bacterial small subunit ribosomal RNA
Source: RNAcentral